GUGAAAUUAGCUUCAGCAGCCUUUUCAAGUCACUCUGGAUUUACACCAGUGUUACAAAGAGAUGAAGCUUGCCCUGAAGACAGUGACAGAAGGAAACACUUGAUUUCAGCUGUUCCUAGACUACACACAGCUGUGGCUUUUGCAGUGUUCUUCUCUACGUCAGUCCUUCCUUCCCAGCAUACUGAUAACCCAUCUGAGAUAACUAAACAGAAGAACUUUCAAACUACUGACAUGAUCAUGGUUCUGGGGGCAGGAUUUUGUGCAAAGACUGAGUCUGAUCUGAUGCCAGUGAAGAACAGCAGGAACUACAGAAUAAUCAAUGAACUUUCACUAGGGUUUUGGCAGCAGAGUGUGAUUGCCAUCAAAUUUUUGACUUAAUAGCUUUGGAAGUAAUUAUAUCAUGCUCUGUACUGGACUACAAGCUGGGCAUGUUGACCUCAUCUAUAACUGUAGCGGAUAGUUUUCCAUAACUCCUCAUCCAAAUAAUGUAAUAUAUUACUUACUCAAAACUAAAUAAAAUGAAAUAAUUAGUUUAAAAGAGCCA
This 544-nucleotide long non-coding RNA is filed under the name Anas platyrhynchos platyrhynchos (common mallard). RNAcentral describes it as "lncRNA (ENSAPLG00000027081.1)". Lineage: Eukaryota; Metazoa; Chordata; Aves; Anseriformes; Anatidae. The record is from RNAcentral.